This 1829-nucleotide long non-coding RNA is filed under the name Strongylocentrotus purpuratus (purple sea urchin). RNAcentral's name for it is "uncharacterized LOC105445501". The record is from RNAcentral. Lineage: Eukaryota; Metazoa; Echinodermata; Echinoidea; Camarodonta; Strongylocentrotidae.
GAUGUUGUUUUUCACUGAAAGUCUGACAGCCCUACUUUAUAUAGGUUUCUUUUCUUGAGCACUUCGCGUAAUGUUUAUUGACAAUUCUUGCUUUGCAUUAUACUUUCUUUCCUUUUCUUAUGACCAAUUUCCACCAUUUAAAUAAAAUCUACUUUGAUCUCAUGCCUCCACCAUUGAAAUCCAUAAAUGUUCCUGGCUUGAAAUUAAGUUGCAUUAUUGAGCAUUGCGUUUAGACGAAUGCAUGAAAGGAAAGGUUAGGUGGGGCUUUAUAGUCGUGAUGAUGCUGGAGUCUUGAGAUCUCGGGAGUAAAAACGAACGAUCAAUAUCUUGCCGUUAGCGAAGAAUGGGAACAAAAGCAAUGGACGGAUUAGUUCCAAUUAAGCCUUGAGCAUUUAUGGAGAUAGAAUCACAUUUAAAUCAUGUCUUUGUGGGAUGCGUGCUCGAUAAAAGUGAAGUCGGGUGAUGACAGAUAAUAAUGAAGUCAUUACAUUAACUCUCCAUCGAAAUACAAUGAAGGCUUUCUGAAUAGAUGGGGAAUAGAUGGGACGCAGGGCAGAGGGGCGCUUGCUCCGUAAAAGCAUCCCUUUCCGAUCAUCGAAGGACAUCAAAUCGAAAACAUUGACAGAGCUCAUGUCCUUGGAGUACGAGGAGGAGCUUGAUUUUGUUCGUUCGUUCGUUUGGGAUCUUUAUAGGAAAAGCAUCCUACUCGUAUUUCAACAAACCUUUUCUUUCUUCUUUCUUCAGAGCAUUCUUCAAUCAGUGAUACGACACUCGGAGGUUGAAGGGAAAGGAGCUUUUCACGAACCCUUAGAGUGAUCACAAGACAAGGUGCCUUCACACUGCAAUGAACUGACACAUCUAAUCAUUUGAAUCAUGGAGCAGUGGAGAAUAGAUUGUGUUGCAGUGGUGGUGCUGGCCACGGUUCUCGUUCUCACCAUUGGACAGUCUGCUGCAUGUAAGUUGACAAUCUUAUCAUAUAAACAGGGCGCUACAAUAUCAACUUGCCCUCUUGCCCUAGAACAAAAAAAUAUUCCUAUUUCUUUGCCAUGCCUGUCACAUUGGCAAGCAAAACACUUUCAUCUCAAUGUGCAUAUAUAGCCAUAGGAUUAUAUAUUUUAUGGCAACUAAACAGUUCGGUAUUCGAGCAAGUGCUUAUAAAAUCAAGUUGCCCGUUCGGACAGGUUCAAAAGUAGAAUUUUGUUGCAUCCUCUGUAUGUGAGUUGAGUGUGUGGUUUGUUUUGUGUGGAUGACCUAAACAGUUGUAACGGUAUGCUUAUUUAUUGUUUAAGAUUGAUUGGGAAUAUAAGAUGUGCUCAGUAUCAUAUAUUUCCUCAAAUUACCUAAAAUAAACAUACACACAAUUUUAGAAAGUACAUGUGUUGUUGAAAAAAGAGGUCUAGCGGGGAAAAAAGAGUAAAACAGAUUUUUGUUAUUUAUUUUCAACUCUUUGAGUCACAGACUGUAUUUUCUUUCCACCGUCGUUCAACACGUGGUUCUUCUCCGAACACACACUCACACACCUUCGAUCAAUGGACAACCCCACCUCGACUGCAAAGGUCUGAGUUUGUUCUUAGGAGGCAGGCAGGGCUGUCAAACAGUUAUGAGCUUGACUUCACACAUUUAGUAGAAGGACAAUUUGUCCUUUCGCACCUUUUAGCACCUUCAGACUAUACCAGCACCUGUCAAUCAACGGCCCUGUCCGUGUUACCCCCAAUAUUUCUCAUCGUUUGUUACGUUCGUUCGUUUCGUCCCCUGUCUGCCUCUGGUGGAAGAAGUGUCGCGUGUUGACAUUGAGGGUCUAAUUUUGAAAUGGGAAUCAAAAUGAUCAU